UUACGCCUCGUAGCCAUACUACGCUGGGAUGCUGACGAGCGGCGGACGGUGGAGUAAUGGCAUAUAGGAAUUCUGCCCGAUAGUGGGGAUAACCUGGGAAACCCAGGCUAAUACCGCAUACCGUCCUACGGGAGAAAGGGGGCUUCGGCUCCCGCUAUCGGAUGAGCCUAUGUCGGAUUAGCUAGUUGGUGAGGUAAAGGCUCACCAAGGCAACGAUCCGUAGCUGGUCUGAGAGGAUGAUCAGCCACAUCGGGACUGAGACACGGCCCGAACUCCUACGGGAGGCAGCAGUGGGAAUAUUGGACAAUGGGGGCAACCCUGAUCCAGCCAUGCCGCGUGUGUGAAGAAGGCCCUCGGGUUGUAAAGCACUUUCAGCGAGGAAGAACGCCUAGCGGUUAAUACCCGCUAGGAAAGACAUCACUCGCAGAAGAAGCACCGGCUAACUCCGUGCCAGCAGCCGCGGUAAUACGGAGGGUGCAAGCGUUAAUCGGAAUUACUGGGCGUAAAGCGCGCGUAGGUGGCUUGAUAAGCCGGUUGUGAAAGCCCCGGGCUCAACCUGGGAACGGCAUCCGGAAUGUCAAGCUAGAGUGCAGGAGAGGAAGGUAGAAUUCCCGGUGUAGCGGUGAAAUGCGUAGAGAUCGGGAGGAAUACCAGUGGCGAAGGCGGCCUUCUGGACUGACACUGACACUGAGGUGCGAAAGCGUGGGUAGCAAACAGGAUUAGAUACCCUGGUAGUCCACGCCGUAAACGAUGUCGACCAGCCGUUGGGUGCCUAGCGCACUUUGUGGCGAAGUUAACGCGAUAAGUCGACCGCCUGGGGAGUACGGCCGCAAGGUUAAAACUCAAAUGAAUUGACGGGGGCCCGCACAAGCGGUGGAGCAUGUGGUUUAAUUCGAUGCAACGCGAAGAACCUUACCUACUCUUGACAUCCUGCGAAUUCGGUAGAGAUACCUUAGUGCCUUCGGGAACGCAGAGACAGGUGCUGCAUGGCUGUCGUCAGCUCGUGUUGUGAAAUGUUGGGUUAAGUCCCGUAACGAGCGCAACCCUUGUCCUUAUUUGCCAGCGCGUAAUGGCGGGAACUCUAAGGAGACUGCCGGUGACAAACCGGAGGAAGGUGGGGACGACGUCAAGUCAUCAUGGCCCUUACGAGUAGGGCUAACCCACCGUGCCUACAAAGUCGGUAACAAA
Molecule: ribosomal RNA, 1188 nt
Filed under: Vreelandella aquamarina
Lineage: Bacteria; Pseudomonadati; Pseudomonadota; Gammaproteobacteria; Oceanospirillales; Halomonadaceae
Description: bacterial SSU rRNA
Rfam family: Bacterial small subunit ribosomal RNA
Source: RNAcentral